Molecule: ribosomal RNA, 407 nt
Filed under: uncultured bacterium
Lineage: Bacteria
Description: partial 16S ribosomal RNA
Rfam family: Bacterial small subunit ribosomal RNA
Source: RNAcentral
AUUGAACGCUGGCGGCAGGCCUAACACAUGCAAGUCGAGCGGAGCGGCGGACGGGCGAGUAAGGAAUAGGAAUCUGCCUGGUAGAGGGGGGUAGCGUCCGGCAACGGGCGCUAAUUCAGACCACUUUCAGUUGAGCCUAGGUCGGUUUAGCUAGUUGGUGGGGUAAAGGCCUACCAAGGCGACGAUCCGUAGCUGGUCUGAGAGGAUGAUCAGUCACACUGGAACUGAGACACGGUCCAGACUCCUACGGGAGGCAGCAGUGGGGAAUAUUGGACAAUGGGCGAAAGCCUGAUGCAGCCAUGCCGCGUGUGUGAAGAAGGUCUUCGGAUUGUAAAGCACUUUAAGUUGGGAGGCGUUACCAACAGAAUAAGCACCGGCUAACUUCGUGCCAGCAGCCGCGGUAAUAC